Molecule: ribosomal RNA, 657 nt
Filed under: Intumescentia ceratinae
Lineage: Eukaryota; Fungi; Ascomycota; Dothideomycetes; Mycosphaerellales; Teratosphaeriaceae
Description: SSU rRNA
Rfam family: Eukaryotic small subunit ribosomal RNA
Source: RNAcentral
UUAAAUCAGUUAUCGUUUAUUUGAUAGUACCUUACUACAUGGAUACCUGUGGUAAUUCUAGAGCUAAUACAUGCUAAAAACCCCGACUUCGGGAGGGGUGUAUUUAUUAGAUAAAAAACCAAUGCCCUUCGGGGCUCCUUGGUGAAUCAUAAUAACUUAACGAAUCGCAUGGCCUUGCGCCGGCGAUGGUUCAUUCAAAUUUCUGCCCUAUCAACUUUCGAUGGUAGGAUAGUGGCCUACCAUGGUAGCAACGGGUAACGGGGAAUUAGGGUUCGAUACCGGAGAGGGAGCCUGAGAAACGGCUACCACAUCCAAGGAAGGCAGCAGGCGCGCAAAUUACCCAAUCCCGAUUCGGGGAGGUAGUGACAAUAAAUACUGAUACAGGGCUCUUUUGGGUCUUGUAAUUGGAAUGAGUACAAUUUAAAUCCCUUAACGAGGAACAAUUGGAGGGCAAGUCUGGUGCCAGCAGCCGCGGUAAUUCCAGCUCCAAUAGCGUAUAUUAAAGUUGUUGCAGUUAAAAAGCUCGUAGUUGAACCUUGGGCCUGGCUGGCCGGUCCGCCUCACCGCGUGUACUGGUCCGGCCGGGCCUUUCCUUCUGGGGAGCCGCAUGCCCUUCACUGGGCGUGUCGGGGAACCAGGACUUUUACUGUGAAAAAA